GGAGAGGUGCCUGAGUGGCCGAUAGGGCCGGUUUGCUAAACCGGUGUACAGGUAACACUGUACCGGGGGUUCGAAUCCCCCUCUCUCCGCCA
This 92-nucleotide transfer RNA is filed under the name Verrucomicrobia bacterium ADurb.Bin122. RNAcentral describes it as "tRNA-Ser". It matches the Rfam family "tRNA". From Rfam's summary of the family: Transfer RNA (tRNA) molecules are approximately 80 nucleotides in length. Lineage: Bacteria; Pseudomonadati; Verrucomicrobiota. RNAcentral also lists the same sequence under 1 other name. The record is from RNAcentral.